GAUGAACGCUGACAGAAUGCUUAACACAUGCAAGUCAACUUGAAUUUGGGUUUUUAACUUAGGUUUGGGUGGCGGACGGGUGAGUAACGCGUAAAGAACUUGCCUCACAGCUAGGGACAACAUUUGGAAACGAAUGCUAAUACCUAAUAUUAUGAUAAUAGGGCAUCCUAUAAUUAUGAAAGCUAUAAGCGCUGUGAGAGAGCUUUGCGUCCCAUUAGCUAGUUGGAGAGGUAACGGCUCACCAAGGCGAUGAUGGGUAGCCGGCCUGAGAGGGUGAUCGGCCACAGGGGGACUGAGACACGGCCCUUACUCCUACGGGAGGCAGCAGUGGGGAAUAUUGGACAAUGGACCGAGAGUCUGAUCCAGCAAUUCUGUGUGCACGAUGAAGUUUUUCGGAAUGUAAAGUGCUUUCAGUUGGGAAGAAACAAAUGACGGUACCAACAGAAGAAGUGACGGCUAAAUACGUG
This 467-nucleotide ribosomal RNA is filed under the name uncultured bacterium. Its description in RNAcentral is "partial 16S ribosomal RNA". It matches the Rfam family "Bacterial small subunit ribosomal RNA", at positions 28 to 507 of the family's 1533-position model. The record is from RNAcentral.